ACAUUGCAAAGCAAGAAUAUACUCACACAAAAAUUUCAUAAAGUACGAUUCCUAAAAUGGCAUUUCUUAAGCUUGGUUCCAUCUGCGCUAUUCUUCUCAUGGCAGCCACUAUUAAUUUGAUGUGGUUAUCAAAGAUGCAAGUAAUGGCUGGACGGGAUAUUAAUUAUGAUCUCCCAGAGAUGGAAAGGAGAUUACUCCCUCAACUUAAUACUUGUUUUAGAUCUUGCAAAUUCGACAGUGACUGUAGUGACUGCAUACUUUGCUGUCAUUGUAAUUUCGCGACAUUCAACACGUUCCAAUGUGGUCCCAGGACUGGAGUAUAAAGAGAACACUAUUGUCCAAUUGCAACAACCUACUCCAAAACUGUGUAACACAUUUAUGAUAUCCUAUAAUUGAUAUGUUUCCUUCCUCUUUUCCUCUUUCCGUUAUUUUAUGUUGUACGAAUAAUGAUGUAUGUCAAGUGAUAAUAUCCAAUUCAGGAAUAAAGAUAAAUUAAUUUCGUCUUGUCUA
Nicotiana tabacum (common tobacco) is the source of this 510-nucleotide long non-coding RNA. RefSeq lists it as uncharacterized. NCBI's taxonomy places the organism in Eukaryota, Viridiplantae, Streptophyta, Magnoliopsida, Solanales, Solanaceae. The record is from RefSeq and is a predicted model, not a curated record.